This 292-nucleotide ribosomal RNA is filed under the name uncultured bacterium. RNAcentral's name for it is "partial 16S ribosomal RNA". It matches the Rfam family "Bacterial small subunit ribosomal RNA", at positions 505 to 796 of the family's 1533-position model. The record is from RNAcentral.
GUGCCAGCAGCCGCGGUAAUACAGAGACUGCGAGCGUUAUUCGGAUUCACUGGGCGUAAAGGGUGCGCAGGCGGUCGUGUGUGUCAGGUGUGAAAUCUCGAGGCUCAACCUCGAAAUGGCGCCUGAAACUACACGACUAGAGUACUGGAGAGGGUAACGGAAUUCACGGUGUAGCAGUGAAAUGCGUAGAUAUCGUGAGGAACACCAGAGGCGAAGGCGGUUACCUGGACAGUUACUGACGCUCAGGCACGAAAGCGUGGGGAGCAAAAGGGAUUAGAUACCCGGGUAGUCC